GGACGCGGAAGGGGGCAGAGGAGGGCUUUCUGGCUCGGGGAGGCUGGGAAGGGGGGCAGCGAGCCCCGGCCCAGCCCGGACCCUUUGGGGCGCGCGCUCGCCUCCGCACCGCCGCCGGGGUCGCCCGCAGCUCGGGCGGUGUCGGGGCGGCCGGGGGAGCGCGGCGGGCGGGGUCCCGCUCCCCCGCACCCCCCGCUAACCCCUCCCCCGGGCGCCCAUUGGUCCACACCCCCACCCGCACCCCACCCUGCGAGGAGCGCGGCGGAGGCGGUGGUCGCUCGCCUCGCUCCGGCCCGGCCUGGCUUGGCGGCGCCUCUCCCGCAGGACCGAGCCCGCGGGGCGCGGGGCGCGGGGGGGCGCGGGGGGCGGGCGGGGGCGCCGCGCCCGGGCCCGGGCGGUGACUGGCGGCGGCGGCGGCUCCAGCUCCGGCGAGCGCGGUCCCCGCGUGCGCACACGCACACGCACACGCCGCGGCGCAGGGGCCCGGACACCGGCCGCCGGCGGACACGCGGACGCGGGGACCCGGGCUCGGCGCGCGCUCCUCGGCGCCCUCGCUCCAGCCCGGGCCUCCCGCCGGAGUCCGCCCGCAGCCCGCAGCCCGCAGCCCGCAGCCCGCAGCCCGCAGCCCGCCGCGAGGCCCGGUGCGAGCAGGUAAGGGCCGCCCGGCCGCCCCUCCCGAUGCAGAACCCUCGUCCCCGCGGGGGGCAGCGGCCCCUUCCUCCCCUCGGCGACCCCCGCGGCCCCUCCCGCUGCUGCUCCCUUCCUGCGCGACAGCCCGACCCCCCCCCCCCCAUCUGGGGUAGUACCUGGGGCAGCAGCUCCCUGCAGCCCCUCCCCGCGCCAGAGGGAGAACCUGGGGCAGGACCGGCACUGCGGCCGGGGGGACCCAGGGGGACCCAGGGGGACCCAGACCGAGGGACCCAGGGGGACCCAGAGGGACCCGUCUCCCUACUCCCAAGGCAGACGGACGCGCCUACGCGGAUGGGGAAGGCAGCGCUGGAGGGGCCCUGGCUGCUGGCUACCGCAGUCCCCAGGGGGGCUGAGGGGUGGGCAGGCGCCGUGCAGGGGGGGUGGGGGCAGGGGCCAGCCUAG
RNAcentral lists this long non-coding RNA (1092 nucleotides) under Canis lupus familiaris (dog). RNAcentral describes it as "lncRNA (ENSCAFG00040005891.1)". The record is from RNAcentral. Lineage: Eukaryota; Metazoa; Chordata; Mammalia; Carnivora; Canidae.